ACCCUACGGGACGCAGCAGUGGGGGAUAUUGCACAAUGGGGGGAACCCUGACGCAGCGACGCCGCGUGGGCGAUGGAGUGCUUCGGCAUGUAAAGCCCUAUCAGCAGGGAAGAAAAUGACGGUACCUGACUAAGAAGCCCCGGCUAAACACGUGCCAGCAGCCGCGGUAAUACGUAUGGGGCAAGCGUUAUCCGGAUUUACUGGGCGUAAAGGGAGCGUAGGCGGCCGGGCAAGACUGAUGUGAAAUACCGGGGCCCAACCCCGGGGCAGCAUGGGGAACUGACAGGCUGG
RNAcentral lists this ribosomal RNA (291 nucleotides) under uncultured bacterium. Its description in RNAcentral is "partial 16S ribosomal RNA". It matches the Rfam family "Bacterial small subunit ribosomal RNA", at positions 335 to 644 of the family's 1533-position model. The record is from RNAcentral.